CUGUAUGAAUGGCAUCACGAGGGCUUAACUGUCUCCCCUCCCCAGUCAAUGAAAUUGAUCUCCCCGUGCAGAAGCGGGGAUAAUACCAUAAGACGAGAAGACCCUAUGGAGCUUUAGACGUCAGAGCAGCCCAUGUAAAGCACCCCUUAACAAAGGAAAAAACCAAAUGAAGCCUGCCCUAAUGUCUUUGGUUGGGGCGACCGCGGGGAAAUACAAAACCCCCAUGUGGAGUAGGAAUACACAUUCCUAAACCCAAGAGCUCCCGCUCUAAUGAACAGAAAUUCUGACCAAUAAGAUCCGGCACACGCCGAUCAACGGACCGAGUUACCCUAGGGAUAACAGCGCAAUCCCCUUAAAGAGCCCUUAUCGACAAGGGGGUUUACGACCUCGAUGUUGGAUCAGGACAUCCUAAUGGUGCAGCCGCUAUUAAGGGUUCGUUUGUUCAACGA
RNAcentral lists this ribosomal RNA (449 nucleotides) under Pagrus major (red seabream). Its description in RNAcentral is "partial 16S ribosomal RNA". It matches the Rfam family "Bacterial large subunit ribosomal RNA", at positions 1988 to 2587 of the family's 2925-position model. The record is from RNAcentral. Lineage: Eukaryota; Metazoa; Chordata; Actinopteri; Spariformes; Sparidae.